CGGGAUGUAGCGCAGGGGUAGCGCACAACGUUCGGGACGUUGGGGUCGCUGGUUCAAAUCCAGUCAUCCCGA
RNAcentral lists this transfer RNA (72 nucleotides) under Spirochaetota bacterium. Its description in RNAcentral is "tRNA-Pro". It matches the Rfam family "tRNA". Rfam says of the family: Transfer RNA (tRNA) molecules are approximately 80 nucleotides in length. Their secondary structure includes four short double-helical elements and three loops (D, anti-codon, and T loops). Lineage: Bacteria; Pseudomonadati; Spirochaetota. The record is from RNAcentral.